GACGUAGGGCGCGAGCGUUGUCCGGAUUUAUUGGGCGUAAAGAGCUCGUAGGCGGCUUGUUGCGUCGUCCGUGAAAACUUGUGGCUUAACCACAGGCUGGCGGUCGAUACGGGCAGGCUGGAGUUCGGUAGGGGAGACUGGAAUUCCUGGUGUAGCGGUGAAAUGCGCAGAUAUCAGGAGGAACACCGGUGGCGAAGGCGGGUCUCUGGGCCGAUACUGACGCUGAGACGCGAAAGCGUGGGGAGCGAACAGG
This 253-nucleotide ribosomal RNA is filed under the name uncultured bacterium. Its description in RNAcentral is "partial 16S ribosomal RNA". It matches the Rfam family "Bacterial small subunit ribosomal RNA", at positions 524 to 776 of the family's 1533-position model. The record is from RNAcentral.